Molecule: transfer RNA, 72 nt
Filed under: Loxodonta africana (African savanna elephant)
Lineage: Eukaryota; Metazoa; Chordata; Mammalia; Proboscidea; Elephantidae
Rfam family: tRNA
About the family: Transfer RNA (tRNA) molecules are approximately 80 nucleotides in length. Their secondary structure includes four short double-helical elements and three loops (D, anti-codon, and T loops).
Source: Rfam by way of RNAcentral
GCAUUGGUGGUAUAGUGGUGAGCAUAGCUGUCUUCCAAGCAGUUGAUCUGGGUUGGAUUGCUGGCCAAUACA